UACGGAGGGGGCAAGCGUUGUUCGGAAUUACUGGGCGUAAAGGGCGCGCAGGCGGCUGCUCAAGUCAGGCGUGAAAGGCCUGGGCUCAACCCGGGAAUUGCGCUUGAGACUGGGCUGGCUUGAGUGCGGGAGAGGAUGGUGGAAUUCCCAGUGUAGAGGUGAAAUUCGUAGAUAUUGGGAAGAACACCGGUGGCGAAGGCGGCUAACUGGUCCAGCACUGACGCUGAGGUGCGAAAGCGUGGGGAGCAAACAGG
Molecule: ribosomal RNA, 254 nt
Filed under: uncultured bacterium
Lineage: Bacteria
Description: partial 16S ribosomal RNA
Rfam family: Bacterial small subunit ribosomal RNA
Source: RNAcentral